Molecule: non-coding RNA, 111 nt
Filed under: uncultured Paenibacillus sp.
Lineage: Bacteria; Bacillati; Bacillota; Bacilli; Caryophanales; Paenibacillaceae
Description: pan motif
Rfam family: pan motif
Source: RNAcentral
AGGCGGUAUCUUCGGAACCGCACUUAUACGGUUAACGCUUUAGACAAUUGCAUAAAGUACGUUUGUGUGUUUUCUGAUUCUGCUCUGAGCCUGAAGGACCGAGACAGAAGG